RNAcentral lists this ribosomal RNA (321 nucleotides) under Aspergillus flavus. RNAcentral's name for it is "partial large subunit ribosomal RNA". It matches the Rfam family "Eukaryotic large subunit ribosomal RNA", at positions 49 to 368 of the family's 3401-position model. Lineage: Eukaryota; Fungi; Ascomycota; Eurotiomycetes; Eurotiales; Aspergillaceae. The record is from RNAcentral.
GAUUGGGGGAAAGAACAACCGGGAUUGCCUUAGUAACGGCGAGUGAAGCGGCAAGAGCUCAAAUUUGAAAGCUGGCCCCUUCGGGGUCCGCAUUGUAAUUUGCAGAGGAUGCUUCGGGUGCGGCCCCCGUCUAAGUGCCCUGGAACGGGCCGUCAGAGAGGGUGAGAAUCCCGUCUGGGAUGGGGUGUCCGCGCCCGUGUGAAGCUCCUUCGACGAGUCGAGUUGUUUGGGAAUGCAGCUCUAAAUGGGUGGUAAAUUUCAUCUAAAGCUAAAUACUGGCCGGAGACCGAUAGCGCACAAGUAGAGUGAUCGAAAGAGGAU